CCCUUAGAUGCUCUGGGCUGCACGCGCGCUACACUGAUGCAUCCAACAAGUUUUUUCCUUGUUCGAGAGGACUAGGUAAUCUUAUGAGAAUGCAUCGUGAUGGGGAUAGAUUAUUGCAAUUAUUAAUCUUCAACGAGGAAUUCCUAGUAAGCGCGAGUCAUCAGCUCGUGCUGAUUACGCCCCUGCCCUUUGUACACACCGCCCGUCGCUGCAACUGAUUGGGUGACCUGGUGAACAUCUUGGACCGGCUCACUCAAUUUCGAGAGGACUGGAAAAGGCCGUAAAUCAGGUACAUCUAGAAAUUGCAAAAGUCGUAACA
RNAcentral lists this ribosomal RNA (319 nucleotides) under uncultured eukaryote. RNAcentral describes it as "partial 18S ribosomal RNA". It matches the Rfam family "Eukaryotic small subunit ribosomal RNA", at positions 1470 to 1796 of the family's 1831-position model. The record is from RNAcentral.